Molecule: ribosomal RNA, 549 nt
Filed under: Halobellus ruber
Lineage: Archaea; Methanobacteriati; Methanobacteriota; Halobacteria; Halobacteriales; Haloferacaceae
Description: bacterial SSU rRNA
Rfam family: Archaeal small subunit ribosomal RNA
Source: RNAcentral
AUUCCGGUUGAUCCUGCCGGAGGCCAUUGCUAUUGGAGUCCGAUUUAGCCAUGCUAGUCGUACGAGUUCAGACUCGUGGCGCAUAGCUCAGUAACACGUGGCCAACCUACCCUUCAGCGGCGGACACCCUCGGGAAACUGAGGCUAAUCCGCCAUACCCCUCUCACGCUGGAACCGCCGAGAGGCCAAAACGCCUUACGGCGCUGGAGGAUGAGGCUGCGGCCGAUUAGGUAGACGGUGGGGUAACGGCCCACCGUGCCCAUAAUCGGUACGGGUCGUGAGAGCGAGAGCCCGGAGACGGAAUCUGAGACAAGAUUCCGGGCCCUACGGGGCGCAGCAGGCGCGAAACCUUUACACUGCACGCCAGUGCGAUAAGGGGACUCCAAGUGCGAGGGCAUAUCGUCCUCGCUAUCCUGUACUGUAGGGCAGUACAGUACCAAGAGCUGGGCAAGACCGGUGCCAGCCGCCGCGGUAAUACCGGCAGCUCGAGUGAUGGCCGAUCUUAUUGGGCCUAAAGCGUCCGUAGCUGGCCUCGCAAGUCCGUCGGGAA